RNAcentral lists this ribosomal RNA (468 nucleotides) under uncultured bacterium. RNAcentral's name for it is "partial 16S ribosomal RNA". It matches the Rfam family "Bacterial small subunit ribosomal RNA", at positions 28 to 507 of the family's 1533-position model. The record is from RNAcentral.
GACGAACGCUGGCGGCGUGCUUAACACAUGCAAGUCGAACGGAAAGGGCGUGCUUUUGUGGGGUGCUCGAGGGGCGAACGGGAGAGUAACACGUGGGUAACCUGCCCUAGACUUUGGGAUAACUUCAGGAAAAUGGGGCUUAUACCGGAUAGGAGUACCUGCUGCACGGUGGGGGUUGGAAAGUUUUGGCGGUGGGGGAGGGGCUCGCGGCUCAUCAGCUUGUUGGUGGGGUAGUGGCUUACCAAGGCGUUGACGGGUAGCCGGCCUGAGAGGGUGACCGGCCACCAUGGGACUGGGGUACGGCCCAGUACCCUACCGGCGGCAAGAGGUGGGAAUUUUGCGACAUGGGCCCGAGCGUGUGAUCGAGACGUCGUGUGCGGAAUAUCGAGCUUUUGGUUAUGAACCGCUUUCGCAGUUGCCAAGGCGUGAGUGACGGUACCGAGUAAAGAAGCACCGGCUAACUACGUG